UUUCCGUAGGUGAACCUGCGGAAGGAUCAUUAUCAUGUAAUUCAGUCCCCUUGGCUGUGUUAUGUAUAUACCCACUCUGUGUACCUUCUCCUGUUGCUUCCGCUGGGUGUGUAAUUCGCCCGGCGGAAGGGUAAAAAUAACCUCUGAGUAUUGAUGAAAUCUCUGUCUGAACCGAAUAGAAAGAAAAAUGUUAAAACUUUCAGCAACGGAUCUCUUGGUUCUC
This 223-nucleotide unclassified non-coding RNA is filed under the name plant metagenome. RNAcentral describes it as "partial contains small subunit ribosomal RNA, internal transcribed spacer 1, and 5.8S ribosomal RNA". The record is from RNAcentral.